GCUGUGAUUUUGAUCUGAGCCACCAGACAUUUGAUAUAAUACUGUAAAUACUGUGGGAGUGAGCCAUUGCUGGUGUGGCUGUGAGUGUCGAGCCAAACCAUACAUUCUUCCUUAACCUGAUUCUUUGCUCAAAUGAAUUCUGCCUAUAAAUCUGCUUAAUUCUUCCUUCCUUGUGUCUUCAGAGUACAACUCUUUGAACAGCUUGGUUUCAGAGGCUUUCAUCCGCUUCUUCUUGGAGACGAUUGGCCAUUACUCCCUGUUCAUCACUCAGAAUGAGCGCGGAGAGCGCAUUUUCCAAAGGGAGGCCUUCCGCAAGUCUGUGGCUUCGAAGAGUAUCCGACGCUUCCUGGGUGUUUCAUGGAGUCUCAGAUGUUUGCAGGGUUCAUUCAAGACCGGGAGUUGAGGAAGACCCGGGCCAAAGGGCUGUUUGAGCAGAGGGUGGAUCAGUAUCUGGAGGAGCUGCCAGACACCGAACAGAGCGGAGUCAACAAGUUCCUUAAAGGCCUUGGAAGCAAAAUGAGGUUUCUUCACAAGAAGAACUGAGUGGAAUUUUGAUUCCUGUACUCAGUAAAAGCUGAGGACCUGAUGUCCCAUGUGUCUCUGCAUCAUGAUGAGCUUGCUCCUUUCAGUCAGGUUUUUGUAUGAAUGUGUAAAUAUCUGAUUGUAAGGUGGCUGUAGUACUCUCCCAGGUAUGUCUAUAGUACCAUAUGAAAUAGUGUUAAGAGGGUGGGAGUGAGCCAUAGAG
Long non-coding RNA from Thalassophryne amazonica, 745 nucleotides. RefSeq lists it as uncharacterized. NCBI's taxonomy places the organism in Eukaryota, Metazoa, Chordata, Actinopteri, Batrachoidiformes, Batrachoididae. The transcript is spliced from 3 exons. The record is from RefSeq and is a predicted model, not a curated record.